UCCACUACUCAGUUGGUAGAGUGCAAAGCUCUUAACCUUGUGGACGCGGGUUCAAGCCCCAUGGUGGAG
RNAcentral lists this transfer RNA (69 nucleotides) under Triticum urartu. It matches the Rfam family "tRNA". Rfam says of the family: Transfer RNA (tRNA) molecules are approximately 80 nucleotides in length. The record is from Rfam by way of RNAcentral. Lineage: Eukaryota; Viridiplantae; Streptophyta; Magnoliopsida; Poales; Poaceae.